UACAAUGAUCUACGACGUCAACUCUCCUCUCUUCCGUUCCUUCCUCAGCCAGAAGGGCGGCUCCUCUGAUAAGAGGUAUUCAAGGAACUGAUUUAUGUUAAAUUUAUGAAUUGGUUUUGCUUGGUUGGGCUAUGGAUGGGUAUCUAAUUUCUUGGAUUUUUAUGCGAUGCUUUAUGUUUUCUUGUUCUGAAAUUCCAAUUUGAGAUUCUGAGGAAGAAUGAAAUUCCAAUGAUCUUACCAUAUGAUUUGAAUGUUUGAAUAAGACCCCAAUUAGAUUUUUAAGAAUAGGAUAGUCCCUUGUUUGCAUACUUAAUUAUGAACAUAAGAGUUAUAAUUUAUUGAAUGCGGGGUUCUGUUCUUUCAUUUGGCUUGAUUAGAACACUAACUCGUUAGUCCUGCAUAUGGUACAUAAUGUCAUAUGGUGUUAAGCCAGCUUUUCCAAUCUGCAAUGGUGUCAUAUGGGGUGUGUGUGUGUCUAUAUAUAUAUAUAAAUUUUGUUUCCUGUUUUUCAGAGGUUUCACUUAUAUGUGUCUCUUUUUGGCAUUAGGUUUACUGGUUUUAACACAUCUACUGGGGUACCCUGUCCUUUAUUAGGGCUAUUGUGCAAUUUGUCAUGUGUUUUGAGUUUUUUCCUUGAGGUUCUUGUCGAGUGAGACAUUUUUCUUCAUUGCAUGUUAUUGCAUUUUUCACCAAGUAUGUGCCAUUUUUCGUUUUCUGACAUGCUCAUGAUACCCCCUGAGUCUUUAUUUCCAAAAUUGCAAAUGGAAUGUUAUUAGUUUUGGAUUUAACUGCGACUACCUCCUGGUUAUUGUGGGGUUAAUUAGUCUAUCAUUGCAGAUUUCUUCCAAGUUUGUUAUGUUGAUCUUUGUGCUGCAUGAGUUGCAUCUUGUUUUUGGACAGUUUGAAGUAUAGAUGUAAUGAUUUUGGAUUUUUCAGGAAAAUGGAGGAACAGAAGCCAAAGGAACAAAAACCCAAAGCAAGCGAGAAUAAGCCUGUGAUGACAGAAUAAAGCUGUUAACAUGGAGUGAUAGGUGCCUCGUCUACCAUGCUUUAAAGUGGUUUAGAAUGGAUGAAGGCUAUUUCAAAUGCUAUUAUAAAAUAUUAGGAAUUUUGUCUUGGCCAAUAUAAAUGAAUGUAUUUCUGGACUAAGAUUUUGAUUUUGUGAUGAAUGCUUGUUUGGAUAUAGCUGUUAUUUUGAGUUUGUGAUGGGCAUGGCAUUCUGAGAAACUGUUGUGCAUUGAAUGAUCUCUCAAAGCAGAUGAUGAGAUUGUAAACUUCAAUUAAAUCAUAUGUGACUCAUUUUUAGAGAAUUGUUGUUCUCUUUCAUAUUGUGUGAAAAAAUAAAGUGCAAGGUAAUAAAUAGUUUAAUAAUGAAGUAUAAGUAUUGGUUGGAU
RNAcentral lists this unclassified non-coding RNA (1394 nucleotides) under Hevea brasiliensis (rubber tree). Lineage: Eukaryota; Viridiplantae; Streptophyta; Magnoliopsida; Malpighiales; Euphorbiaceae. The record is from RNAcentral.